This 1554-nucleotide long non-coding RNA is filed under the name Calidris pygmaea (Spoon-billed sandpiper). RNAcentral describes it as "lncRNA (ENSCPGG00000016240.1)". Lineage: Eukaryota; Metazoa; Chordata; Aves; Charadriiformes; Scolopacidae. The record is from RNAcentral.
CAGCUGCCCUGGGUACACCAGUGUGUCAAGACCUGGAUGGCCAAGGCGGAUCUCACUCUGAGGGCUAUUUUCUUUUUGUGGGAGGUGGUGUGUUGAGAGCAGUGGUGUUUGGGACGGGUUAUGCCCGGCUCACGUUUAUUCCCUUCAGCAACGGGGCCUUGGGCGAGUCCCAGACCCCCCUGAGGGCCGCGCUAGGCCGCUCCCGGCGGACCCGCUCCCGCCCGACCGCCCCGCGCCGCCGCCGCCGCUUGUGACGGACCCGGCCGCGCGCCGCCUUCCCGCUUCCUCCCCAUUGGUCCGCCGCCCCGCCGCGCCGGUAGCAACAGCGACAAAUAUAUCCUGCCGCCUUCUGAUUGGCUGCCCCCUCCCGCCGAGCCAUAGCAACAGGGGAGCGGGGCGCGCGGCGCCUGAGGGGGCGCGCGGUGGCCGUUGGCGGCUCGUGAGGGGCGCAGCGAGCGGGGCCGCCUUGGCUGAGGGGGCCUCGGGGCUCCGCCGGAGAGGGGGGGAAAAAAUAACGCUUCUGCCGCAGGAGGCAGCUACACCCGGCGCUGCUACCGCUGCUGCCGGUAGGCAAAAGGUACCGCCAUCCUCGCCAAGCCGCCUUAAAUCCGUUUACCAGGCGUUUGUGCUGCGGUGGGCAAGAGCCGCCGCUCCUCUGCGGCCUGUGGUGGAGAGAAAACACGACCCUGUCAUGCGCCAGCUCGCCAAACGGCUUUCAUGCAGAAGCUGCAGCCCGGUAGCAAAAUUCACGCUGGAUCGUGAUAGAUUUUUGUGUGAGAUCCCAAAUCAGAUCCGUGGCGCCGCUAUUAUGGCUGAAGAUCCAGACACUGCACACGCAGGAGAAUAUAGGUACUCUCCCACAGACCUUCUGUGAGUGAAAUGCAGCCUCUUCACUUUCUUUAGGUUACAGUCAGACUGUGGAAAUGCUGCAUACAAGGUUGCCUUAUUUUAGUUCCUUUCCUUGCAACUGUUGCAUUUGUAUCUGGUUUUAGAGCAAUGAGGUUACCUAUCACCUUACGGGCUCAAGGUUAAGAAAUUUUGAGCUGCUUUAAACUGAGAAAUAGCCAUUAUAUAGAAGCUUCAAGUAAAAAACCCAGAAGCAUUUAAUGAGAUUUUUGUGUGUGUGUGUAGAUAUACGCAUAUAUAUUUGGCAGAUUAAUGCAGAUUGUCUGGUUCAGUGGGUGAAUAACUGGUUUUAAAAAUACUUCAUAAUCUGUUUCCCUCGGGAGUCUGAAACUUCCGUACGAGCCUAGAGAGCUUUUGGGAGACCCUACGGAUUUUCAGGGCUGUCGGAGCCCUUUGCAGAAUGACUAAUCUCGGCUGAGAAGUCACUGUAACUGCGGGGUUUCCAAACUGGGGAAGGGUAUUGGGCACUUUGGGUUGGCCCAUCUCUCACUGCUCUUGCAUAAGUGUUACAUACAUCAAAAUCUAUAUUUUUACAUUGAAUCAUACCUUUUCAAGAACACGUUCCUGCUGUCCAUAGAUAAAACUUUAUCCUUAGGUAAAAUGUAACGCGCUACUGAUGAGUGAUACUUGGGAUCCAUUCCGUUUGGG